This 254-nucleotide ribosomal RNA is filed under the name uncultured bacterium. Its description in RNAcentral is "partial 16S ribosomal RNA". It matches the Rfam family "Bacterial small subunit ribosomal RNA", at positions 524 to 776 of the family's 1533-position model. The record is from RNAcentral.
UACGGGGGGAGCAAGCGUUGUUCGGAUUUACUGGGCGUAAAGGGCGCGUAGGCGGCCACUGCAAGUCGGUUGUGAAAUCUCCGGGCUUAACCCGGAAAGGUCAAUCGAUACUGCAGGGCUAGAGUGCAGAAGGGGCAACUGGAAUUCUCGGUGUAGCGGUGAAAUGCGUAGAUAUCGAGAGGAACACCUGCGGCGAAGGCGGGUUGCUGGGCUGACACUGACGCUGAAGUGCGAAAGCUAGGGGAGCGAACGGG